Panthera pardus (leopard) is the source of this 115-nucleotide ribosomal RNA. Lineage: Eukaryota; Metazoa; Chordata; Mammalia; Carnivora; Felidae. The record is from Ensembl.
GUCUACGGCCAUACCACCCUGAACGCGCCCGAUCUCGUCUGAUCUCGGAAGCUAAGCAGGGUCGGGCCUGGUUAGUACUUGGAUGGGAAUACAUGAGCAUAUGUCCCCGAGGAAA